This 79-nucleotide small RNA is filed under the name Epilithonimonas hominis. RNAcentral's name for it is "Chryseobacterium hominis Flavo-1 RNA". It matches the Rfam family "Flavo-1 RNA". Lineage: Bacteria; Pseudomonadati; Bacteroidota; Flavobacteriia; Flavobacteriales; Weeksellaceae. The record is from RNAcentral.
CCCUAGCCCCGAUAGUAGCGGCAUCCUUUUUCUUUUUUUGCAAAAAAAGGAAAAGAUAUAGCGGAUAGCGGGAAAUAGC